RNAcentral lists this transfer RNA (610 nucleotides) under uncultured Prochlorococcus sp. Its description in RNAcentral is "partial contains 16S ribosomal RNA, 16S-23S ribosomal RNA intergenic spacer, and 23S ribosomal RNA". The stretch from base 226 to 298 matches the Rfam family "tRNA". Lineage: Bacteria; Bacillati; Cyanobacteriota; Cyanophyceae; Synechococcales; Prochlorococcaceae. The record is from RNAcentral.
UGGAUCACCUCCUAACAGGGAGACAACAAAAUGUUUAAUAUUAUUAUUUUGUCACCUUAGGUCGAUCGGUAUCUCACGUUCUUAAUUUAUUAAGAAUUUCAUUUCCUAAGUUUUUCUAGGUCACACCCAUUAUUUUCCUGGGCCAUUAGCUCAGGUGGUUAGAGCGCACCCCUGAUAAGGGUGAGGUCCCUGGUUCAAGUCCAGGAUGGCCCAUAUCUCUAUGUUGGGGGUAUAGCUCAGUUGGUAGAGCGCCUGCUUUGCAAGCAGGAUGUCAGCGGUUCGAGUCCGCUUACCUCCACUGAUUACCACCUCUUCCAUAAUCUGUAGAAAGGAAAUUUUUUGAGUUGUGAUCAAAUUCUGAACGAAUCUAGCUUCCUAAUGAAAUCAUUAAGACGCUGGACUCAUUGAAUUAAUUUCAUUGUUCUCAGAGAACCUUGACAACUGCAUAGAUUAUUUUUAAAGACAAUAAGCAUCUUUAAUGAUGCAGAUUUAUUUUUUGUGCAAAUGCAUUAAAUAACAAUUCUAUUAAGCUGAUGCUUCAAUUUUGAAGUUAUUGGUCAAGCUACAAAGGGCUCACGGAGGAUACCUAGGCACACAGAGGCGAUGAAGG